Peromyscus californicus insignis is the source of this 9376-nucleotide long non-coding RNA. RefSeq lists it as uncharacterized. The record is from RefSeq and is a predicted model, not a curated record. NCBI's taxonomy places the organism in Eukaryota, Metazoa, Chordata, Mammalia, Rodentia, Cricetidae. The transcript has 2 exons.
CCCUCCUCCCUCUGCUCCUCCUCCAGUGGCCGCUCCUGUGCUCGCUAGGGCGGCGGAGAGACCUAGAGGAAAGGGCGGAGGAGGAAAAGGGUGGGGAAAGGAGAGCAGGUGUCUGGCUAAGAGGUGGGCUCACUCACUGGAGCCCCCAGCGUCAAGGGGGCUGGGCUCGGUCUUAGGGGGUGAAGCCGGAGGAGGAGGACAUACCCGGAGGUGGAAGACGUGAGGCUGGUACACUGUAUGUCCCACCCGGGGCGGGAAGCUUUGGCUAUCACAGUGUGGCUGCAAGAUGGGUGGUCAGGGAUCCUGAGCAAUCUAAGACCACAGCUUUGAGAACCUGCAGAGGUGACUGGGAUGGCAGGACACUGAUCUGAUACGUAGAUGUGGAAGGGACCCAGUGUCUGAGGAGCUGAGCCAGACAGAUCUCUCUGCUGUGGUGGUGGAGAGCUAGACCCAGAGCGUGAAAGGGGGCACACAGGUGCCCAGAGAGGCCACGUUGACUUCAGUAUGCCAGAAUUGAAGUUAUCCCUCCAGUGACACCAGCCUCCCUCAUUUACAUAUGUCUGGGUGAAGACUCAAAGAGCAAAGGGAGUUCCUGAUGGACCGUGCUGCUGCCCAUCCGGGAGUCAUGAAGUCAGACCUCCACACUCUCUGCUCCUCGGAGGGAGGGAUUAUGAAUUCCCACAAUGACUGUCAUACCUGGGAUGAUGAUGAAGUGGCUGCAAGCAGGUCGGCUUCACAGAACACAGAAUAACGACAGUUCCCCGAAGUCCAGGUCUACAGCAAGAGUGGUGUCAGUUACCAAAGGAAAAACUAUGUGUGUACCGUCUGGAAGAAAGAAACCAGGAGUUCUGAGCCUUUUGCAUGAACUUAAGAGGAAGACAGGGAGGCUAUAACAGAUGAGUUCUGAAUUAAUUCCCCAAACAGGAAGGAAGAAAUCUUCCGCCUUAAACGUGAUGCACAUGAAAGGUCACUCUUUCCUUGUAGAAGCCAAGAAGCCAGAUGACACGACAGAGUUCCAGCAAGAUAAGAAAGAAGAAAGGCCGAGGGAAAGCAGACAAAGGAGAUGACAUACACAACAGAAGCAGGGGUCGCCGUGGGAUUUUGUGGCUUGUGUGGACAGUGCCAAGAGUAAGAGGUGCAGCGCCAGGGUUGGUCCUCCAGGGGGUGGUAGGAAUUCCUCCACAUUGUAUUUCAGACAUCACGUGUCUGUUCACUUGCUCACUUGGCCUGCAGUUGGCAGUUGUCUAAUCUUUGUUGUCUUUGGCUUGUGUGUUUCCUUCCCUUUCCCAAGGUUCAGAUUAACACAGAGUUUCAUAGCUUCAGUGUUUACUAAGCUUCCCCAUAUUAUGCGGACCAGGUUAGGAACAUGGGCAUAUGGUAGAUAUGGGCCAUACUCUCAAGGAGCUUGGGGUUAUUUGGGGAGAAAAAUUGCAAAGCAUGGAUUCUAUGAUAUGCUAAUGGGCAAUGGGGUAUUAGAAGCAAAUAACUGUGGUAAUUCUAGCAGCAGCAUGGGGUGGGCAUCCAGUGCUUAUAGCAACGAUGUGACUGAAUCAUCAUGAAACAUAACUGUGUUUAAUACACCAUAUUUAAGGAGGCAGGAUAUGAGUAAUUCUUGUUUUGAAAAUAUUCCAUUUAAAAUGAUGAAAGCUAAAGAAUUAAUUUCCCUGGUUUGGUUAGGUAGAAAACCCAUUAAUUUCCAGUGGAACACCUUAUUCUCUGAUACAUCAAAUAAAUGAGGCAUUGCUAAAGUGGCAGAUGAGAAAUACAAAACAGGGAGUACGGUUUGAAGACCCGAGAACGGAACAGAAAUCUGUCCCUACCAGAGUGCUUCCUGAUAAUCAGCCACUUUUGGAGUGAGUCUUCCUUGAUAUGUGAUUUAAUCUUCUCAGCAGCCUCGCUCAGCUGGCAAAACUCAUGUUGUUCUCUUUGUGUCUGAUGGCACAGCUGAAAGCACAGGGGCCUGUUACCGGUCCAAGGUUCCAUAGUAAGUUACCCCGUGAGAGGUGAAAUGACAGCUCCUUCACACACAGGCAUCCACAUGCACUCACGCAUACACACACACACACACACACACACACACACACACACACACACACACACACACACAGAGGCAUGCACAUACACACACACACACACACACACACACACAGAGGCAUGCCCAUGUACUCAUGCACAUACACACACAGGUAUGCACAUGCACUCACAUGUACACAGGCAUGCACAUGCACUCACACACACACACACAGGCAUGCACAUGCACUCAUGCACACACACAGGCAUGCACAUGCACUCACACACACAGGCAUGCACAUGCACUCAUGCACAUACACCGGUGUGCCCAUACACUCAUGCACACAAACACACACAGGUAUGCACAUGCACUCACACACACAGGCAUGCACAAGCACUCAUGCAUACACACAAGUGUGCACAUGCACUCACAUAUACACACACAGGCAUGCAUAUGCACGUGAACUCACACACACUCACACACACACACACACCCAUAUACAUUCACACUCAUGCACAAAGUCACCCCCAUAUAUAUAUAUGGGGUAUAUAUACAUAUAUAUAUAUGUAUAUAUUAAGAGCUAGAGCAAAUGUCUAAGAAGUGAUGUGGGUUCAGACCAUCUGGAUAUAAAAUGCACAGCUAGAACAUAAUUGCUCUACCAUCACCUCUCCCUUUUCCUCUUCAUUUUCCCUGCUUUCUUUCUCUAUCAAGAUAGACAGAGACAAAAAGGAAAUACCAGAAAGAGAGCUGAGGAGAGAAAACACCAAGGUAGUGAGAAUAAAAGGGACUGAAGAGAAUAAGAGAUAGUUGUAUAGGAAAAUCUUCAUAAAUGUGUAUAAUGUGCCUCUGAUAGAGUCAACGUUUGUAAAUAAUAUCACGCUAAGGAUGCAGUGGAAAUGGUUAUAUAGGUAAGAGUGUUUGCUGAACAGGUGUGAGGAUCUGAGUUCAAAUCCUCAUCACCUAUGUGAAAUUUUGGGCCAGACUAUUCAUGCCUGUAAUCCCAGCACUGGGGCAUAAAGACAAGUGGAUCCCAGGUACUCAGUCAGUGGCCAGCCUAUCCCAAACUGCACGCUUUCAUCAGUGAGAGACCCUGACUUAAAAAGUUAAGGCAGAAAUACAUGGAGGAGGACACCAAGCAUCUUCUACUACCUUGUGCAUGCACACACCUAGGCACAUGCACCCAAACACCUCACCUCUGUGCAUGCAAUGCGCACAACAAUGCACACAUGCUUACUCGUGCAUGCGUACACACACAUACACACACACACACACACACACACACACACACACACACACACACACACACAUACACACACACACAUGCAACACAAAACAAAAACACUGGAAAGCUGGAGACUGGGAAGGGUAAAUGUUGCAAACUAUUUAGACAUUGUCUCUGUUACCAAUCAGGGGAUGUUUAGUCUUCUCUGAGCCAAUAUCUCUAGCUUCAGCACUUGUCUGCUGUUAGUGCUGAGGGCAAUAACCUUCCAAUAUACCUCCUCCCAUCCCGGUCACUGUAAGUGCCACCCAGAGCCCUAUGCUUCAAGCAUGUGAAGAGACUUGAGGCUGACUCUAUUCUGACUCUGCUUGGGCAGGAGAGCUCAUCUGUGGAACCAGCACCCUCUUUCUCCGUGUGACCUGCAAGUACUCAGCCACCUGAAGUGGCCACUUCUCCUCUGCUUAGGCAUGAUCAGAGGGCACAUCUCGCUGGUUCUUGUGAAUGCUCGUGUGAACUUCUUCAUAAAGGGGCUGGCUCACAGUAACUUCUCCAUAACGGUUAGCGUUCAAACCCAGUUGCUCCUUCCCUUUAAAAAAUUAACAUUAUUUGUCCUGCGUCAAGUUUUAGUGAGUUCUCUGACCUAAGUUGUCAUUUUUUUGAACUAUGAAAAAUAAGCCUCAAUCCAGUUCUGCUAUUCAUUAUUUCCUUUUGUUCAACACAGAGAUUGCUCUCUUACAGAUAAGUGGCAAAAAUGCUCGUGGUUGAAAUGCCUGCCUUAAAAAUUUUAUGUGGCUGUGGGCGCAUGCUGUAUUCUCCUGUCAACCGGGGAAGGAUUGCUCCAUGAAUCCAGGGCUAUAAAUUUGGAAUUUACUUUUUAUUUCUCUAAACAAAGUUUAAAAGCAUAUAAUUUGGGAAGUUGGUGUUGAUUAUUAUUUUUAUAUCUAGCACCACAAAUGUGAAGUCAUUAGAACCUUAGUCAUUUAGAACGAUGGAGGAAAAAGAAUAAGAGAUCUACCCAAGAAAAUAUAUGAGAAGAAAUGGAGAUUGAGUCAUUUCAAGGAAGGUUAGCAUUGCAAGCUAAGAUAGAAAUGGGCUUCCUGGGUGGAAGCAUCUCAGCCAGCAGUGCAGUUCAUUAAAAACCACAACACAAAAGAUUCAGAUGGCCUCACACAGCCGCUGGUACAAGCUACUUUGUAACUUAACAAACACAGUUACUAGAAUCAGAAGUAGAGGACUCUAUCAAGCCAACCAAACCAACUUGGGCUUGCUUUGCGUACUCCAAUCAUUUUGUAAAGAAUGAUCUGAAGAAAAUCUAGCAUUUUUUUUAAUUACACGUAAUUUUAGUUGGUUAAUUUUACAUGAAAUUAGUGAAGUGUGAAUGGAUGCGGUUUUAUUGCAUAAUGCAAGUUUAAAGCAGUGGCCUCAUAAAGUAAACAAUUUAAUUCUCUGUUUUAUAUCAUAGCUUUCAAACACCUAGGGCUUUAUUCUCAUUUGUGCUUGGUUAUAGAUAGGCAGAAUUCUUUCAAGGGAGUGUAUUUGCCUUUCAACUCCUUCCACAGAAGCAGCUGUGAAGGGUGGCCAUCAAUAUUAACCUGGGGGCUGGUAUCAGAGAAAUUUCUCCAUUAGGGAGUAGAGCCUCCUGGCAGAAAAUGUUCCUGGGAUCUGGAGGAAGGAUCAACACAACGUAUAUUCAAGCUUCAUUUUCUCUUGCAAAUUUUGUAGAUCUGGAGAAGUCCUUCAAGUCCCCCAUAUGUGAUUCUUCAAUUUUUAUUUUUAGAUAAGAUACCGAAACAUGAACAUUUACCACAGAACCUGCCACAGAUGAUGUCUUAACUUCUGCUGACCUGAAACAGGGGAGGAUUGUCUAUGACUGACUCAUAUUAUAAAGGCUAUCAAGCCCAAAUUUAGAUUACUAGUUCACCUGUAUACUUACUAAUCUAAUGCUUUUUAAGUAUCUAAUAUAGGUGAUUAUUUUUUAAAGUUAGCCUUUGUGUGAGCACGUUGCAAAAUGUUGUUCAAAACCUUCUUGUUAUAAAAAUAUUGCUGAUGUUCAGUGACUGCAUUAUUUAUGUUUUGAAUGACAUUCCUGAACCUUUGAAGGUAACUAAAUUUAUUGCUGUUGAUGUUUCAUGGUAGUUGAGACACCACUGUAAGACAUUUCCACAAACUGCAUUGGCCUAGGUCAACCUGGUCCUAGGCAGCCAGCAUCUGCUUCUUCAAGUCCUAAAGCUUUACUUUCUCUUUGGUUGCCCUCAGAUCCCACAGGAUCCACAUCAUUAAACAAUACAAACAUUUCCUCUAAGCAUGCCUCUACCUCCCUAUGAGCAUCAGCAUCUUCUGAUGUCCUCUUGCCUGGACUAUUAUGCUAGCUUCCCGAAGGGGAGGCUUUCUUCUGCCCCUGUUCUCACAAAACCAGUCCUACAUUGGUUCAAAGAGCCCACCUUGACCCUUGCAAAUCAAACAUCUGAUAAUCAUGUUUCUCUACUGGAAAUGUUCCGCGGCCUUCUCGUCUUGCUUAGGAUAAAAGCUAGAGUCCAGACUCUGACAGGGUGCUCUCCUUACUCUGACCUCCUUCUGUCUCUUUCCUUCAUGUGUGGCCCUUUUGUUUCACCCGCCAUGCCUCAGCCAUGGUAUCUUUAUUCUUGGUUCCUGGACAUGCCAAGUUUGCUGUCCUAGAACCUUUGUCAUAGCUGUUCCUUCUGCAGGGAAGGCGUUCUUUUCAUAGCUACAUCCUUCUUGCCCCUUUGCGUUUCAGUCUAGGGAAUGCUCUGCAACAUCUGCCCACUCACUCUACUGUAUUGCCCAUUAAAUAUCUAGUACAGUAUUUAUCAUAACCUAAUUGUUCUUGUUCAUUAACUUACUAUUCAUUUGUUUACUUCUGUCAACAACUUUGCUUUGCUAGAAUAGAAAGCCUGAGUAGGAAAACCAUCUCUUUCACAUGCCUCUGUGAUGUCUUUUGUAUUAGAACUGUUUGGCAACUCACAACUGUGUUGAAUAAAUGAAUCGAAUGGAAGAAAUUUCAGAUUGCCCGAGGGAAGAAGUUCUCUGACUAAAGUUUUGUCUAAACCAUCUCAAUUCUAAAUUCCACCCAGGAUAAUUCCAUUUCAGAGCUUAGAAAUGUGUGAUGACUUCACUUCCACAUCAGAAAUCCAGGGUAGUUGAACAUUUCAGGAUUCUGUGGCAUAGGCAUCAUUUCUGCAUUGCCACUCAUUUUAUCUCCAGCCUUCUAAUUUCCUUUUCUUUGCCUUAUGUGAAUGUCUUUGGGGAAAAAAAAUCUCAUUCCAUUCAUAUGACAAGUAGAAUUAGUUCUUAUCUUGUACAGGAGAAGAGUGAAUCUCAGAGGGACCAUACAUUUGUGACAGAGUUUUGAACUCAAGUGUGUCAAAUACCAAAGAUGAUAAAGUGGGCUGGAGCAGUGUCUCAGCAGUUAAGAGCAGUGAGUGCUCUUCUACAGGACCCAGAUUCCGUCUCUAAGUACUCAUAGGGCUGCUCACAGACAUCCGUAACUCUAGUCCUAGGUGAUCAGAUGCCCUCUUUUGGUCCCUGGGGACGCUGCACACAUAUGGGUGUGUAGAGAGCCGUGCAUGGCCACGCCUCAAAGAGGGCGCCGGCAUCCGGCUUCCGCCUUCCUGAUGGCAGGUGUUCUCUGGGAUAAACAACUCCUUAUUUGGUUUGGGUGUGGAAUCUGGCUUGCUUGCGUAUGUCUGACCCUAUCGGCGUUGUCCAUGUGGCACUACGGGGUUGGUUGCCCAGUGGCUAUAAAGGGCGUGGGCUGGCUUUCCCGAGUCAGAGAGAGAGAGGAAGUCAGAAGAUGGCUUUCCCCGGGGUCAGAAGAUUGUUCAAGGUUCCUGAAUAAACUGCUUGGAGAAGAGCCUGGUGUUGCGUCUUCCUUGCUGGUCGAGGCAGACGCGACAUGGGUGCACAGACAUUCAUGCAAAAUAUCCAUAUACACAUAAUGAUAAAAUAUAAAAUGUAAAAGAUCACAAAACUUUUCUUUCUUGGAGGAGAUAUCCCAUCAGUGACUAUGGACUCAUUUCAUUGUAGUUCUUAAUGAGCUGGCAAAAUAUUUGCCAAACUACUUUAGUCAGUUGGGAAUUCCUGAAUCCCUGUAGACUUGCUGAAUAAAAAUCUGACUAAGGCUUAAGAAUCUAGUUUUAAGUAUUUUUCCCUCCACAACUCUAAAAACAUUAGGUUUAGAUCAAACAAACAAAUGAAAGAAAAAAACAGGGAGAGACCUGUCAAACGGAACCCAUAUUCUCUUCAGAAGUCUUUGAAAUAUCAUCCAAUAUUAGUCACCUCCGUAGUUUAGUGACUCAGAGAGACUCCAGGACUGCAGGGUGGAUGAAAGCGGUUGCGGACCCUGGAGCUAUUGUUCUAAGAGGAAGUGCAUUAUGUGGAAUUUGCUGGAGAAAUCACAAAGCAUGAGCUAGGGUUUGAGCUUUGUUGUGGAGUGCAUACCAACUGAUGGACUGAGAGAAUGUUUUGAAGUUGCCAGUAGGUCACACUCAAUUGACCUUUGCCCACCAUCUUUUCAAGCUCAUUUAAUUCAUAAGUCAUUCGACAUGAUUUGAAUCAACAAUUAAUCAUUCCAAGCAGAGUGGUUGCAAAGGGCAUUUGACAGGGGUGUUCUUAAAGUUUUAAGGAUUGGUUUUAUAGGCCUAUUCCUACUACGCUGCAACACUGAAAAGUCUGUUUUGUGAUGUAAUCAUGAAGUGAUGACAGAAAAUAAUGUUUUUCAGGGUGUUCUUUAUUGGAGAAUAUAAAAUUUGGUCAAGCCCACCUACCCUAAUAAUAAAAUGCUGACUCUUUCUGUACCUUGAGAAUUGAGCCUUAUCCUGUAAAAAGAGAUAAAUGGCCUCCCAAGGAUUAGAGACUAUGGAAAUUCACAUCUGGUAGCUUGCACCUGGCUAACCUAUUUAUGGAAAAGGUCAUUUUAGUGCUAAAGACGCCCCCUCCCCCAUACUCUGCUGGAGGGAACUGGGCAGCUGUUAGGGAGGUUUGCAUGAUUUUAAACCAUUCUGCUUACAGAAUAAGCUCCUUUAAUAGUGGCUGAGAGGACCAUGACCCUGCAUUUGGUACCACUAUUGCAGGCUGACCACAUUUCCUUCCCUCAAUACUGCAAAGUUAGAAAUUAAACUAUUUCUAUAUUUCACAUAUUAUUGUAUUGCUGACGUUAACAUCAAGAAUAGUUUUUUUUUUGUUUUGUUUUGUUUUUCGAGACAGGGUUUCUCUGUAAGAAUAGUUUUAUUUUAUUCUGUCAAAUACUGUAGUAUGGCUGCUUAUAUUUCAUACUUGUUCUCGUUAGCAAAUUGUGCUUUCUUGAAUGAUUGGCCAUAGCUUGUUAUAAAUUUCUUUUUUUUUUUUCUGUUUUCAAAUUUAAAUGACAAGGCUUGAGUGAAGUGUAUUCAUUCAGCUCACUUGUAGGCAACACAAACCAGGAGAAAUCUACAAAAGUGUUAGUCCUGAGUGCUCAGAUGCUUUCCACAAGAGGCUGUCUCACUGUGCAGGUAAACAGAAGUGGGCUUUGUACAAUUUCAGAGUUUUGAAACGUCUGGAUUCUGUGUGAGGUGUAUGCUGGGCUGGAGGGACUGGAUGUCCUACAUACAGCAACAACCAGGCUGUCUAUCAUCUUCCAUUUCAAGGGUAGCUUUCCAGGCAGAGAAUGGGGCUUAAUAUCACUAUUCUUAUCUCCAACCCACCCAUUUAAGAUGCUGGUAACAUCUGAAAAAUAUGUAUAAUAAUAUCUUUUACUCCUUAAAAAAAACCCACUAUCCCUUACCUUUCCCAUUUCUCUAUUCAGUUUUAAACGGUCUGAAAAGAAAGGCAGGAUCUACCCUGAUAAUGCAGAGAUUUGCUCUUUGAUGUUUAUGGAGCCUAAAGCCUCUGUCACUGCUGACCUGGAUUUCUAGCUUAUCUAUUAAAUGCUGAGCUUUCACAGUCCCUCAUCCUGAGGAGGCAAGUUUGUACUACAAUCAUUUGCUUUUCAUAGACAGCAAAACAUUCCUGUGCCCAAAAAGUCAACCCUUCAGGAGAGAGAAGUUAAGAUUCCUUAAGAUCAUUACAUGCAAUUAUUUUAUGUUUAGCUAAAGUACUUUAAAAAAAAGAUCUUCAAACACACAUUAAAAAAAAAGAUCUUCAAACACACA